CCGGAAGUUAUGAUUUGAUAGUAGAAGUAGUAGUUUGUGUAUCUGUGUGUGUGAUAGUGGUUCCAGAGGACAUGUGGGUAUCCCGUCGUCAUCUGGAUGCAGUGCAUCAUGGACCUGACUGGCCCAGCAGGCAUUCGGAAAACUGACGCAGCAGGCGAUUUUCCUGCGGGGAAAAUAUCCUCGAGGAGCGUGAACAUCAGAGCCGAGCAGCGCAGGGGCGACGAGGUGAAGUCCUUCGAGGAGAUGAAGAAAUGAGAGGAGAUGAAGGAAAAAAAAAGAAAAAGGUACAUGUAAAUAUUUGAGAAAAGCACAAAAGCCAAAAGGGACAACAAUGCGAUGUAAUGAAAUGAAAUGACAAGCGCCUCAAAGGACAACGAGCGAAGACGUAGCCAAAAAGGAUCAGCAGAAGAUAUAUCGUAUAAAUUAUAAAUGCAAACAAUAAAAGCCGGCGGAGAAGGGAAACUUUUCCCCGAAUUCCCUGAAUUGGCUGCCUUUGGAAAUCACUUCUGAACGUAUGCAGCUGCAGCUUAAGCCCGAAACAUCAUGCCCAGUGUGGCCAUGUCUGAGCUUGCAUCUUGCAGAUGCAAAGAUACUUUUGAGUGAGAGUGAGAGCUGCCAAUUAAUGCGAAUACUUCUCUGUGGGAAUCAAGGACGUGAUGUGACUCCAUUCGCAGACCGGUCACUUGGUUUUUGGCAUCCCUUUUUUUUUGUUUUGUUCAGCAAUUUUCCAAAUUACAUUUAAAAUUUUGCAUUUCCACUUUCCAGCUGCAUACACGUAUCGA
Molecule: long non-coding RNA, 782 nt
Organism: Drosophila teissieri
Lineage: Eukaryota; Metazoa; Arthropoda; Insecta; Diptera; Drosophilidae
Exons: 4
Source: RefSeq, a predicted model, not a curated record